UCGAACGGGAAUUACUUUAUUGAAACUUCGGUCGAUUUAAUUUAAUUCUAGUGGCGGACGGGUGAGUAACGCGUGGGUAACCUGCCUUAUACAGGGGGAUAACAGUCAGAAAUGGCUGCUAAUACCGCAUAAGCGCACAGAGCUGCAUGGCUCAGUGUGAAAAACUCCGGUGGUAUAAGAUGGACCCGCGUUGGAUUAGCUUGUUGGUGGGGUAACGGCCCACCAAGGCGACGAUCCAUAGCCGGCCUGAGAGGGUGAACGGCCACAUUGGGACUGAGACACGGCCCAGACUCCUACGGGAGGCAGCAGUGGGGAGUAUUGCACAAUGGGGGAAACCCUGAUGCAGCGACGCCGCGUGAAGGAAGAAGUAUCUCGGUAUGUAAACUUCUAUCAGCAGGGAAGAUAGUGACGGUACCUGGCUAAGAAGCCCCGGCUAACUACGUGCCAGCAGCCGCGGUAAUACGUAGGGGGCAAGCGUUAUCCGGAUUUACUGGGUGUAAAGGGAGCGUAGACGGUGUGGCAAGUCUGAUGUGAAAGGCAUGGGCUCAACCUGUGGACUGCAUUGGAAACUGUCAUACUUGAGUGCCGGAGGGGUAAGCGGAAUUCC
RNAcentral lists this ribosomal RNA (607 nucleotides) under uncultured Lachnospiraceae bacterium. RNAcentral describes it as "bacterial SSU rRNA". It matches the Rfam family "Bacterial small subunit ribosomal RNA", at positions 62 to 670 of the family's 1533-position model. The record is from RNAcentral. Lineage: Bacteria; Bacillati; Bacillota; Clostridia; Lachnospirales; Lachnospiraceae.